AUUGAACGCUGGCGGCAGGCCUAACACAUGCAAGUCGAGCGGAUGAAGGGAGCUUGCUCCUGGAUUCAGCGGCGGACGGGUGAGUAAUGCCUAGGAAUCUGCCUGGUAGUGGGGGAUAACGUCCGGAAACGGGCGCUAAUACCGCAUACGUCCUGAGGGAGAAAGUGGGGGAUCUUCGGACCUCACGCUAUCAGAUGAGCCUAGGUCGGAUUAGCUAGUUGGUGGGGUAAAGGCCUACCAAGGCGACGAUCCGUAACUGGUCUGAGAGGAUGAUCAGUCACACUGGAACUGAGACACGGUCCAGACUCCUACGGGAGGCAGCAGUGGGGAAUAUUGGACAAUGGGCGAAAGCCUGAUCCAGCCAUGCCGCGUGAGUGAAGAAGGUCUUCGGAUUGUAAAACACUUUAAGUUGGGAGGAAGGACAGUAAGUUAAUACCUUGCUGUUUUGACGUUACCAACAGAAUAAGCACCGGCUAACUUCGUG
This 484-nucleotide ribosomal RNA is filed under the name uncultured bacterium. RNAcentral describes it as "partial 16S ribosomal RNA". It matches the Rfam family "Bacterial small subunit ribosomal RNA", at positions 30 to 507 of the family's 1533-position model. The record is from RNAcentral.